UACGAAGGGGGCUAGCGUUGUUCGGAAUUACUGGGCGUAAAGCGUGCGCAGGCGGUUCUCCAAGUCAGUGGUGAAAGCCCGGAGCUCAACUCCGGAACUGCCAUUGAAACUGUAGAGCUAGAGUACGAGAGAGGUGAGUGGAAUUCCCAGUGUAGAGGUGAAAUUCGUAGAUAUUCGCAAGAACACCAGUGGCGAAGGCGGUCUGCUGGGCCAACACUGACGCUGAGGCGCGACAGCGUGGGGAGCAAACAGG
RNAcentral lists this ribosomal RNA (253 nucleotides) under uncultured bacterium. Its description in RNAcentral is "partial 16S ribosomal RNA". It matches the Rfam family "Bacterial small subunit ribosomal RNA", at positions 524 to 776 of the family's 1533-position model. The record is from RNAcentral.